CGGAAGGGCUAGCGUUGUUCGGAAUUACUGGGCGUAAAGCGCGCGUAGGCGGCUUGGCAAGUGAGGCGUGAAAGUCCUGGGCUCAACCCGGGGACGGCGCUUCAGACUGCUUGGCUUGAGUCCGGAAGAGGGUGGUGGAAUUCCGAGUGUAGAGGUGAAAUUCGUAGAUAUUCGGAGGAACACCGGUGGCGAAGGCGGCCACCUGGUCCGGAACUGACGCUGAAGUGCGAAAGCGUGGGGAGCAAACAGGAUU
RNAcentral lists this ribosomal RNA (253 nucleotides) under uncultured bacterium. RNAcentral's name for it is "partial 16S ribosomal RNA". It matches the Rfam family "Bacterial small subunit ribosomal RNA", at positions 527 to 779 of the family's 1533-position model. The record is from RNAcentral.